This is a non-coding RNA of Phascolarctos cinereus (koala), 372 nucleotides long. The record is from RefSeq and is a predicted model, not a curated record. Lineage: Eukaryota; Metazoa; Chordata; Mammalia; Diprotodontia; Phascolarctidae.
CCAUCUCAAAGAGCAAUGGAAAGACAGAUGGCUGGAAAAGCAGCAGUUACUUACGGGCCGGACCAUAUAUAGCCUUGAUCAUCACAGAAGCUUUUAAUUUGUUUGUUUUUCUGACCUGGCCCAGUUCACCCUGCCAUAGACAGGUCAACCCUCCUUAGGCAGCCUGGUGGACCUCCACUACUGGGAGCUCACAUUGACACUGGACUUGGAGAAGACAGUUGAUGAACUUCAGCCCCACUGCAUCUUAGAACUCCUGAGCUAGAGUUAUCCUUCACUCUCAGCCUACCCCAGUAGUAGAGAUCACAGGCAUGAAACAACAUGACCAGCUUAAGUUUAGAUUCUACCUCCAGCUUCUGCAACAGAAGGAUAUUU